AUUUAACAUAAAAGAAAUUAUAAUGUAGUAAGUCCCGUUAAGUGGCUUUGUCAGGUUUUUCGUUAGCUCAGAAAAAUAUUGCUUCACAUCAACGACGAGCUCAAAGGCAUAGAGAAGCAUCCGUUCCGAUUGGCAGGCAUCAAGACAUUUUUCCGAGAGUCACUGCGCAGAAGUAAACUGAGCAUAAGCAGUUGACAUCGAUGUGGCAUUACGCGUUAUUCUCAGUGAACUAAAUAAAAUCAGGCAUUGUUCAAGGCAUCGAAAAGAUGCUGAAAGGCGCCGCGUUCCUUGUGAAGAAGACUGAAGCGCCUGAGCGUAUCUACGAUAUAGAUAAUCCUUCGGUAAUCUUGUACAAUCUCGUGAAAAUAUAAGAUAGUAGACAUGGUGCGUUGAUCACGGUGUCCCGUUGAUCUCGUUGUGCGAACUUAUUCUCUGUGUGUUAGGAGCGUAACCUCCUGACGGAAAUACUGGAGAGGAGCCAUAUGCGCGGGCUCGCGUGGGCAUAUGCUAGUGCGCAGCCGCGUGAAGUCUCUGAAUCAUUGCGCGUGCGUGCAUGCCCCUAUUCGCGCAAUGUGUGUGACUUAUUAUAAAUGUUAGAUUUUAUGUGAAUAUAUGUACAUGUGCGACCAGGCGUGCGGGGACGUGUAUCCGUAGUGUGGGCCAGUGUAGCCAGUGCAGUGCACUCGGCGCAGUAAUCUCGCGGGCCAAUAUUUCAGCGUUUGACGGUUUUACAGGACAAGUUUCUAUUGCAGGAACAUUCGAGUAUCUUUGGCAUAGAAGACUGUGUUGGGUACAAGUGGUAAAACGGUGAUUCCUCUCCGAGUGGCUAAAUAAAAUGGCGGUGAUCGGUGAUGUGAUUGGCGCUGAGCGCUAGACGGAGGUCGUGUUUGGUCCACGCUUCGUCUUGUUUUGGUUUUCGUGGACUCUUGGUUCUCGAAAUUUGUCGAUUAGCCACGAGGGAGUACAUUAUAGAGUAUAUUAUCGAAUUGUAAUCGAAGCAAAACCGUCGGAUCGUCCUAGAGAAACUUUGAUUAAGGCGAGGAGGACCGUCGGUGGUGGUCGUAAUUUUUUCCGCGCGGUGACGGCCGCAAUGCCUGCGACGCAUUGCUAUAAUCCUGACAAGUGCAUCGGGAAAAAGAACGGAAGCGAGAAGGAGAAUAAAAGUGAAGGAAGAGGCGAGAUCACUUUAGCCACGUUAAAUCGCGAAUCUUCGCGAGCAACAAUCGCAUCCAUCGAUCAGGUCGCCGACAGGCUAUAGUUUCACAUACAGAAAUUUUUAAAUCAUCAAAAUGAAGAUAGACCGAAGCAGAUUAAAGAAGUGCACAUCAGAAGUGCCUGCAGAAUGUCAGGUGCUGAUUAGCAAACUGCGCUCCUGCUCUCAUGCAGAAUUGCUUGAGGAAUUAAAGCAAAUAGAUGCAUGGACCUUUGGAAAAUGUGAAUUGUUCCAUUGGAUCGAUGUUUUGGAUCUUAGUGACAGUAUUUUGGAGGAAGCUGCUGCACGAAGUCCAGAUAAUCAAUGGGAAUUAGCAUGUGAUCUUCCACAGAACAGAGAGGCAAAAGAACUGCUUCUCUGGGUUCUUCACUUUACAACGCUGUUAAUCGAGCAUUCAUUUUCCCGGCAUUUAUACAACAGCAUGGAACAUUUAGUUACAUUGCUAUCAAGCUGUGACAUGCAUGUGGUUCUUGGCGUUUUGAACCUUUUGUACAUGUUCAGCAAACGCAGUAACUUUAUCACACGUUUAAACAGUGACAAGCGCCAAUCUCUGCUUACCAGACUCAAUCACUUGGCUGAGAGUUGGGGUGGCAAGGAAAAUGGUUUUGGUCUUGCAGACUGUUGUAAAGAACAUCCAGACAAGCCAUUUCCUGCAAGUGCUACGACACUCCACUUUGAAUUCUACGCGGAAAAUCCAAUGGCGACAGAAACAUCGUCAAGUAGUACUGCAGGAAACGCAGUUGCAAAGAAAUCCGGCCUUACUAAUCUCGUGACUUACAUUCACAUUGAAGAAGUAGAUAAACUUGGAAAGACCCCAGCACAGAUUAUGAACGAUUUGCUGAAAGUUUACAACGUACCGCAAGAGCGACAGAUGGCUCUUCUGACUCACAUCAGGCUGGCACACAGUUUUUCGGACUACAGAAGGCGAUUACAAUGCGUGCAAGCUCGUCUUCAGGCACUCUCCAUUCUUGUAUACAGCAAUGCACUACAAGAGAAUGCGCAUAGUUUGUUACACGCUGGAUUGCUCGAGGAGCUGGUUGAAUUACUCGAACUUCCACAUCCUCAUCUUGUCGAAAUUCGAGCAGCGGCAUUGCGUACUCUCACAAGUAUCAUACACUUGGAUCGCAAUCCACACUUCCCAAAGAAACCAGGCUCUCGAUUGAACAUGAUAAUUGAUGUAACCGGAGCUAGUUCAUAUCACGGAUUUUUGCCUGUACUCGUACGAACUUGUAUAACAACCCUGACAUCCCCUCAUCCUGACGGACAACACUUUCCGUUGCCACUGGCUACGGCUCUAUUUAGUUUUCUGUAUCAUCUCGCUAGCUAUGAAGCUGGUGGCGAAGCACUUGUUAGUUGUGGCAUGAUGGAGAGUCUUCUGAAGGUCAUUAACUGGCCAGGAAGCGAAUUGGAGCACAUUACGUUCGUGACGCGUGCUGUUCGUGUGAUAGACUUAAUAACGAAUAUAGACAUGCAAGGAUUUCAAGCGCACGGAGGUCUGUCUAGCUUUAUAAAUAGACUCGAUAUGGAAGUGAACGUGUGCAAGAAGGAACAGCCAUUUGAAAUAGAACCUCAGCAGCAUUCUACCAAAGAGAUUCUGCAACUCGCGCCAGAAAGACCAGCGGAUCCUGAUGAUGAGUCGAGAUCAUCACGACGAUCAAACGAUGCUUUCGAUGAGCGAGAAGAAUCCUCUAAUCCUAUGGAGUUCUCGGAGGAUGAGAAUACCAGCUCCAAACCAGAAGGAAAGCAGGAACGUUUGCCCGAUUAUUCUGCUGCAAGGACAGGGAAAACAUGCUUACCUCAGCGGGCAGCACUGCUCAAGUCUAUGUUGAAUUUCUUGAAGAAAGCUAUUCAGGAUCCGGCUUUUUCGGACAGUAUACGCCAUGUUAUGGAGGGGACCUUACCGUCGUCCUUGAAGCACAUCAUCAGCAACUCUGAAUAUUAUGGACCAUCCUUGUUUCUCCUUGCAACCGACGUAGUCACUGUAUAUGUGUUUCAAGAGCCGUCUUUACUGUCUUCUUUACAAGAUAACGGACUGACGGAUGUUGUGCUGCAUGCACUGCUCAUUAAAGAUGUCCCUGCUACUAGAGAAGUAUUAGGCUCUCUGCCCAAUGUGUUCAGCGCUCUAUGUCUGAAUCAACGUGGUCUGGAGUCCUUUGUCAAAUGCCGACCCUUCGAGCGCCUUUUCAAAGUUCUCCUUUCGCCUGUUUAUUUAUCAGCAAUGCGCAGACGUCGCAGUGCUGAUCCUCUUGGCGAUACAGCAUCCAACUUAGGAAAUGCAAUGGACGAACUCAUGAGACAUCAGCCAACUCUUAAAGUCGAUGCCACAUCUGCCAUCAUCAAACUCUUAGAAGAAUUGUGCAUUCUAGGAUGUGACCCACGAUACAUAUGCUGGCGUGCUGCAAGCAAAUCCGAGAAUUCUCCGUCAAAUUCAAGUUCAGGUGGUCGUCAAUCCUCUGGGCAGUCUGUUGGCGUUGGCGUGGGGGAUGGCGGUGGAGGGGGAGGAGGAGGCGGUGGAAGUAGCAGUGACGAAGAAGAGGAAGACGAGGAGGAAGCUAGUACUAGUUCACACCCUCAACGAGAAGAACAACCAUCACCUUCGCCAGCUCAACCUGGACCACCACCUCAACCACGUGAAAAGACUCCAAUCGCUUUAGUAGACUAUAUUCACAAUGUAAUGAAAUUUGUCGAUGCUAUCCUCAGCAACAAUUCAACGGAUGAUCACUGCAGAGAAUUCGUUGCGCAGAAAGGACUUGUUCCACUACUCUCUAUACUUGGUUUACCCAAUUUACCAGUGGACUAUCCUGUGGCGCAAGCUGCUCAAGCCGUGGCUUCCGUCUGUAAGAGUAUACUCAAUCUUGCCCACGAACCACUGGUUUUGAAAACCGGAUUGUCUCAACUAAACGAAGUUUUGAAUUUACUGAAACCUCUUCAUAGUCAUAUGGAGGCUCCUGGUGGUUCAGUUUUAUUACACGAACUUGCUUCUGCACCAAAUCUGGAAACAGCAUUCACAAGUGAUACAGCGACUCCUUUACUUCACGCUAUGAACGCGGCUCACGGAUAUGUGGUGAUGUUUGUACACGUCUGUCGUACAAGUCAAAGUGAAAUUCGAAAUCUUUCCAUGAAUCACUGGGGUUCUGAUCUAGGUAUGGCUGUUCUGAAAGGACUAUCUGAGCUCUAUAUGUCUCUGGUGUGGGAAAGUACCUUGCUUCUUGCACUCUGCAGCGAUGACAUCAUCCCAGCAGGUUGUGACUUUGGUAAAGAUGACAUGGACAAGCUUAUACCACCUGAAUUAAGAAGUGAUGGUGAAUUAUCUUCGUGGUCCGGCGCUGCUUCGUCCGAUAUGGGUAGUAAUGGAAUGACAACAGCCAUGGAAGCCUUGAGUACUGAUCCCCCACCAGUAUCAAUGGAAGUAGACGAUAAACCUAGUACCAGUACAGGAAGAACGUCACCGAGCACUCAUCAACUGAAAUAUAUUAAGCCUUUAUUGGGCGCCUCAUCAAGAUUAGGAAGAGCAUUAGCAGAACUGUUUGGUCUACUUGUCAAACUAUGCAUGGGAUCUCCAAUUAGGCAACGACGGGGCCAACAAAUCCCUAUGACACCAGCUUUACCUUCGCAAGCAGCUCGAAGUGUAGCUACUGCACUCAAUUGCUUAUUGACUCGUGGUCUCUCUUGGGAUAAAUUGCCACCUUCACCGAUACCAAAAUUUAGGCUAACUUUCCUCAUAUGCUCAGUGGGCUUUACUUCACCGAUGCUCUUCGAUGAGAAGCGCCAUCCUUAUCAUCUUAUGCUUCAAAGAUUUGUCCAAUUGGGAGGACAAAAUGCAUUCUUUGCAACAUUCCGAUGGGCUUUGUCUGGUGGUGGACAGUUUCCACUUUCCGAAGGAUUGGAACAUCCUAAUCUACCUGACGGCACUGGUGAAUUCCUGGACGCCUGGCUUAUGCUUCUAGAAAAAAUGGUUAAUCCCAAAGCCAUAUUAGAUUCACCGCACGUCGUCUCGUCCAAGUGUACUGGCGUUUACAAGGUAUACGAAACCUUUGACCCCAUUAAGUAUCUCAUAGAUAUUCACAAGAAAGCAUUUGGAGCAGUGAUGUUGAUGUGGGGCAAAAAACCGUUGAAGAAUUAUGGAGCACGAAUGACCGAAUCCAUCCUGUCGAUUUUGCGACAUAUUUUGCGCGGUGAGAAGAUAAUCAAAGAACGCAUUGAAAAAGAAAAGACUGGAGAAACACCAGCGGCUACUGGAAGUGGAACUGCAGCUGGUACUGGUACUGGAACUGGAACUGCCACUACUUCCGUAAGCAGGACUGGACCAGCACCAGAUCGUAGAGAAGAGCCUGAAGCAGACAUCAAUGCUGAGCACUUGAGACAACUAAUGGAUAUGGGCUUCAGUAGGACACAUUGCAUUGAAGCUCUACUCCAUACUCUUACCGUAGAACAGGCAACAGAUUAUCUUCUAACAAAUCCUGCAACUUCACGCAGACCUGAUGCACCUGCUGGAGAUGCCAGUGGUCAGGGUCUCAUAAUGGACUUGGAACUAGUGGAUGAUGAUCAAAUAAUGCAUGCCAUCGCCAUGUCAUUAGGUGAUUCAGAUUCUCGAAGAUUUUCAAUAACUGAAGAACCUCUGCGGGACGCACCAACCACAGAGACCAUUGACGAGUUCACUUACAGUGCACUAGAACAAUGUCUCAAUCUUCUGGAUUUGAUGCCAGACACCGUUUACAGGAUCUGCGAUCUUCUGGUUACUAUAACUAAGAGAAAUGGUGACGACUGGCGAGACUCUAUGCUGAGACAGCUGAUUCGUGAAAUUGGUGAUCUAGUGGAUUAUCUGAUCGGCAUUGCUGAGAGUCAGGAUGAGAAUGCUGGCGUAAAGUUAGUCGAAUGCGAGGAAGCCAGUAAAGUCGCUGGACGUAUCUACCUCUACACCCUCUUCUUCGAGGGUACCUUUCAAGAAAUGCGUGUACCUUGUGCACAGAGAGUGGAAGAAUGCGGCAUGCUCGAUAAACUCGUACGUCUAUUGAUAGUGAGUGAGAGUCCAUUAACAGCCAAUAAAAAUAAAACAGUCAAGGAUGGUAAGGAUGGAGUUGCCACUACGAAGACACCAAAAUGGCUGGCUCCUUUAUUACUCCUCAUAGAUCGUCUGGAAAAGGUAGCUGUGCUCACGCAACGCAAACAACUCAUGCACAAAGUUACAACCAGGGUUUGGAAGUGGUUUGAUCUUAGUUCCGGAAAGUGGACUCCUUAUUCUCCACUAAAUAAUCGUAUAAUAAAUAAUGCCUAUUGGGCUGGAGAACCAACAGUUAGAAUCACCUGCACCAGGAGACGUUACCUCAUUACAUUCUCUUGUAUGACCCAAGUUAAUGAAGACACUGACAACAGGAGACCCAUUACCAUGGGAUUUAAAUUGAAUGGCAGUAGUUCGGGCGAUGCAAAUUCUCGUUCUGAUUCAAAUAUGGAUACCGAGGAGAGCCCGGCUGAGGAUAAACGAAACGCUGUGGUACAAGGUCUGGAUCCCAACGUAGCCCCAAGCAUUGUACGUGCUUGCGUGAAACUUUUGGCUAUUCCAGUAGACCGGGAUGCUUUGCACGCACUUAUGAAGGUUUGUCUGCGUUUAACACGGGAUUAUAAAAAUGCUGAAGUAUUCGCAAGAGAAGGUGGAGUACGUCUUCUGCUUGAUAUGACUCAGGCUAGUAGCUUCAUUGGAUGUAUUAGCUUGAGUACUCUUUUGAUACGACAUACACUGGAGGAACCACGCACUCUUCGUCUUGCUAUGGAGAAGGUUGUUAGAACACGCACACAGCCUAAUAUUCCGCCAGCUUACAAAGAGAUUCUGUUUAUGACGAGGCAGAUCAGCAGUGCAGUUUGUCGUAACCCGGAAGUGUACAGAGAAGUUUGCGAAAAUAUUCUCAGAGUCGAUAUAGGUGUACUGAAACGUGACGACGUGGAUAACAGGCUACUAGUUAAAGCUCUACCACCAAAUCAUUCUUCAGCUCUUCCAAUGGUGGAGGAAGUCUCUAUCGGAGUCAUUCAUGACUUACUAAAUGCUCUAAUAAAACCGACGCCUGUGUUACCUGAUGACGCUUCUGCGUCGCCAGCUGGAAGUCCUGAAAAGAAAAUCACACAACCGAGCACCGCUGUCACGAAUAAUAGCGCAGCCACAGCUUCAUCAUCUAGACGAGACGGUCUUAGGAAUAACGGAACUGCCAGUACUGAUGCGUUGGAUGAUGACGAUCAAGUUUCUCAAAUUAUUCCUUUGAAGAUGUAUACGGAUAUUGGUAAUAAUACCAAGGUCGAACCGGAAGAAGCGAAGAAACCACUGUUACCAAAAUCAGCGAUUCUGAAGAUGUUGGCAGAGGCAGUUCGCUCUUACAGUGCUGUAGCUAAUCUGAUAACGGAACAUACCUACAGGGCUGGGCAAAGUGAAAUGGUGACUGAAGACACAACUGCUUUGACGUUUUUGCUUGAUAAAAUAUUACCAAUGCUGCCAGAAAACUCUGGUGAUCGACAAUGCAGCAGUAUGGCUAGGAUGUUGAUUUCUGCCAUUGCUUCAUGCAAUCAUUCACCUGAUGCACAAACAGCUUUGGUAACCGAAGUGAAGGGUGCGCUUAUACGAACUCUAGCGUUGCCCGAAAGCUCAGAAAAACAUACUCAACUUGUACUUCUUAUUGGUCUCAUUUCAACAAUGAUUGACAGUUGUCCACCAACUUCUCACGCUCAUCUGAGAACUUCAUUAAAAGUGCAUCAAUACAGCAAUGUUAAUUAUAUUGUUAGAAUAAUGUUGAGAAAAGGAAUAAUUACUGAUCUGGCCAAGAUACCUCAUAGUCUUGAUCUUUCAAGUCCUAAUAUGGCUGGUACCAUUAAUGCUGCUCUAAAACCACUGGAAACUUUAUCGAGAAUCAUUAAUCAACCUAUGCCAGGCACCGUUAACAAUAAAUUUCCUAAACCUAAAAAUCGCACUGCGCAAGAAGAACCAAUUGGCGAACAAACUGGCACAACUAACUCAGAGGCAACUCAUGCAGUUGGUGAAGAGGCGAAUGAGGAUGCCGAAAAUACCGAGCACGACAUUUCAGUUACCGCUGAGAGUCUAGAGCCAACUUCGGAGAGUCAAGUUCAUGAAGAGGGUGAUGAAGCUGCUCUUGAAGAUAUUAUGGAUCAAUUACUAGAGAGUGUACUCUAUUCCAGGGACGGCUCGGCCGUGACGGAGGAGCCUAGUUCCCGUCCGCACAGGCCAAUGGAUAUUGACGAUGAAAGUUUAGCAAUGCGCGACAAUGAGGGCGACUUUGAUCCAGCCCGUGACACCACAGUAAGAGAAGAUCUGAUGAGUUCGGACUCAGAUUCUGACAGCAAUCCAUCUGACGAUAAUGAGGACGAGGUUCAAGAUGACGAAGAUGAAGAAGAGGAGGAAGAAGAUGAUGGCGAAGAAAAUGAAGAAGAGGAAGAGGAGGAAGAAGAGGGCUCUUCAAAUUACGAAGAGGAUGGUAUGGAAUUUUACGAGGAUGUUGGGGAAGGCGUCUUCCGGAUGCUACCAGCUGCCGAACGAGAUGGCAGCAAUGUUGUGAUGAUACAACAUAAUAUUGAAAACCAAGACAACGCUUCUUCUACUCCUGUCUUCACAGCUCCUGGUCUUCCUUGGAAUACAAGUUCACCGUUGCAUCUUGGACUAUUUGAAGAUCCUCCUCCAGUAUCCGAGGGCAAUGGCAUCAGCUCGCAUCCAUUAUUAAUGGCUCGUAACAAUCUUGAUGUUGCAUCUUUACCGACCUCGAGAGCUCAACGACUUCUGCGUCAACGCAGAUAUCAGUAUCUUCAGCUGUCGAAUAUACGUAGUCCUAAUCCGCCAGUAAUUUUACAAAGACUGUUCGGUCCAGCUGCGCAGACUCUUCCUAUCUCAGCUAGUCCAGUUUUGACAUCUAGCUUCAGAGAUACCCGUGUUCUGGUUGUGGAUAAUGGCCUUGGAAUCUUGAAUCAAGAAGAAGAGCAGAUAGAUUUUGUGGAUCAAUCUGGUUACUUGUUCGGUCCAAGUCUUGCAGCUACAUUAAACAAUAUCCCAACAGCCUUACAUUGGUGGAUCGAAGAGAGUAAGUUGCUUGAUGGUGAUUCUCAGCCAGACUGCUGCGUUGCAGGAGUCGUACAGAAAUUAAUACCUGGACUUGAGAAAUAUAGAAAUGCGGAGUUAGCAGAGCGCAAAGAGAAACGCAAGAAGCAACAUGGUACUGAAAAGGAGCCAGAAAAAGACAAUAAAGAAGUUAAAGAACAGACGAGUAAGACAGAAUCGGAAACAUCAGUUCCAUCAUUACCAUCUGAAGAGCAAAGACUUGUAGCUGCAAAUCCGCAAAGGGAAGACAUGAGGGAAUUAGUUGCAGUGGUAGAGGCAGCAGUUGCAGCUGCAAGACAAGAUCGAAAUCCAAAUGAUGACAUAAUUGAAGUUACUGGGGAAAUGGAGGUCACUGUACAAGAAGAUGAGGAACGAUCACCUCCACCGCCACCAGAGGAACAGCCUAUAGAAGGCAGAGAUCCUCGCACAGCGUCACGUAGCACUGCAGUCGAACUUAUUGAAAAUAUUGUAGCUCUGGCACCUGCUGUUACAGAUGCUAUAGCACUACAGAGACAACCUGAGAGGAGUGCAGAUGAUCAAAAUCCGGUUCUUUCGACGCCAGUACCAGUAAAUUUCAAUCAAGAUGUUAAUGACGAUUUGUCGAGAGAUGUAGAAAGCAGUAGCGAUCCAACAGGUUGGAUCAGAAGAUUACUUACUGAUGAUAAUCAGUCAAAUGUGGAGAGAAAUGCAAAUGUCGUCGGACAAGGUGCUGGUUCCUCUACUUCUGAAAGAAAUAAUCAAGAAUCUUUGGAGCAGCCACAAACACAGUCUCAAUCUCAACAGCAACAACAACCGCAAGCCCAACAGCCGCAGCAACCAUCACAAGAGCAACAACUACCUGACGGAGUAGAUCCGUCCUUUUUAGCGGCAUUACCUGAAGAAAUGCGCGAUGAAGUUAUUGCUGAACAACUGAGGUUGCAAAGAAUUAGACAACGAGCUCAAGCAACUGUAGUUGAAGAACCGACUGGUCCUGUAGAAGUAAAUCCAGAGUUUUUGGCUGCUCUGCCACCAGCUAUUCAAGAAGAGGUUCUUGCCCAACAACGAUUGGAGCAACAACGUCACGCGGCUGCUUCAGCAAAUCCUGAGGAUCCCGUUGAUGCAGCUGCCUUCUUCCAAAAUCUGCAACCGUCCCUACGUCAAGCCAUUCUGACCGACAUGGAAGAGUCUCAGAUAUCCGUGUUACCACCUGACUUGGCACAGGAAGCACAAAAUCUAAGACGGGAAUGGGAAGCACGUAAUAGGCAUAUGAUGCAGGAAAGAUUUCUUAAUCAUGUCAGUCAAAGUAAUACGGCCCUGUCUAGCAUACUGAGAAAUUCCGGAAGAGCACGAGGUGGUGGUACGCGUUAUGCUAUCCAUACCGUACCUCAACGAGCACAAUGGAAUUCCUGGAAUCCACGUGGUGAAACCAGUAUGGCCCAUCAGGGCGCCGGUUUGCGAUUGAGAGGAAGGCAAUUACUUGAUCACGAAUCAAUGGCCUGCCUCUUAGUUUUACUGUUCGUGGAUGAACCAAAAAUUAACACUCUUAGAUUGCACAGGGUCAUUCGAAAUUUGUGCUAUCAUGGUAGUACAAGAGAGUGGGUCGUCAAAGCUCUUCUUAACAUAAUGGAGAGGAGCAAUGAUGAGAAUAGAGAGAUGAUUGCUGAUUUCAGCGGAAAGUUCAAGAGAAAAGGACUGCACUCGGCUAUAGACUAUUGUUUCCCAAAAGUUUCCGAAACCAGGAACAAUGCCCAAUCCUGGUUAAAUAUCAGCAUCGACGCAGCUCUUGGCUGUAGAGCCAAUGUAUUCCAUGUUGUUAGGCAUGGAGGAAAGAAGUCUGAACGUCAGGGAAAUGUCAUUGCCAUUCAUCCUCAAGCUGCGCCUACAGUAUGCCGGCAUACGCUAGAAUUGCUGAUUUCCUUAGCCAAGGGCUUUCCUGGAUAUUUCGUACCGCUUAAGUCUAAGGAAUCUGAGGACAAAGAUAAAGACACGUCCGCGAAUAAGGAAGAAAAUGUUGGAAAGGCAAAGUCCAAUUGCAAACCAGGCAAGAGUGACUUCCCUGAUUUCUGGGACAUGCUUCUGAGGUUGGACUCCUGUGCUUCUAAAAAGGGAAAAUCUGUUGCACGAACUCACUCGAAUUCAAAUUUGGGUUGCGAACCAGAGCAGAGCAUGACGUCUUUCGAAGCUUCGGCAUUUGGACAACUAAUAUCAAUGCUCAACUGGUCUGUUAUCAAACGCAGUAGUCAACUAACGGACAAACUAUUGCGACUCUUGUCUCUUAUAUCAAUUGGCUUGACGGAAGCGAAUCCCUAUCGUCGACAAGAUGGAGCCAAGAAUAAAAAAGUGGACUCGAAUAAGGAACAGAGUGUUGCUGCCCCAGAAGGUCAUCUUAGGCUGGCUGUACAAGUACUUACCAGCAAGAGUUGUUCGGAGGAGGGACUUGAGGACGCAACAGCACUUCUUCUUAAUCUGUCACAUUGUCCUGAUCCAACUAGGCAAUUGAUUUUGAAAUUACUUUUGGAAGGAGCAAUGGAACUAGCCACUAUGGUCUGUGAACAUAUUAAUGACCUGAUGAUGGAACUUCAAGUCCUCAACCGUGAACUGAAUCGUAGAAUCUCCAUUGAAGAGCAACCAUCUAGCAGUGCUGGUGGAGUUGGCCGAGGAACUCUUCUAGACAGAUUUACAAAUGAAAGCGUGGUAGUAACAGCUCCAAGUAAAGUUAAAGCAGGAACUGAUCUCCAGUUGCCGUCCAUGGGUGCUCUGGUCAGCAAGACUUCUAGUCAGGCCUUUUUCCUUCGAAUACUUAAGGUCAUUGUACAGAUUAGGGAAGCUGUGCGCUUGGCUAAUAGAAAGAAAGCUGAAACAAACCAGCCCACAGAAACUGCCAUGGACACAGGGACAUCCAGUCAACCACAGACUUCAGCAGAAGAUAAUACAGAAGGCGAUAGUGUCGCUAUGGACACGACACAAGCGAACUCUUCAAAUUCUGAUAACUUCAAACCCACCUUCUCAAAAAGUGAUGAAGAGAAAUCCACACUACCAUUACUAAGCGAAAGCCUAGUGUUAGAUAGCCUUUGGGAAACAUUGAGUGCGUGUCUACUCGAACUGGAGCAUACUCCUGAUCAUCACGCCGUCCUAGUCCUACAGCCUGCGGUCGAAGCAUUCUUCCUGGUACACUCAUCGUCCAGUUCAACCAGAGAACGUAAUAGCGAUACAAUAACAAUAAAUACAGAAUCCCGAGAAGUUGUACCAGAUCUAGCACCAGUUUCGCCAAUAUAUUCAGAUAACGAAGGCACAUCUCAGUCGGAAGCAGCAAUUAACACCUCGUGGGAUAUAACUCCAACACCACAAAAAACACUACCUCCUGACCAAUUGAAGUUCCUCAAAUUUGCUGAAACACACAGAACGGUUCUGAAUCAAAUCUUGAGGCAAACGACAACUCACUUGGCUGAUGGACCCUUUUCCGUCCUGGUAGAUCAUACACGGGUUCUUGACUUCGACGUAAAGAGACGAUACUUUAGAACAGAACUCGAGAGGAUGGAUGAAGGCAUUCGAAGAGAGGAACUAGCCGUACACGUACGAAGGAGUCACGUAUUCGAAGAUUCAUUCAGGGAACUUCACCGUAGGAAUGCGGACGAAUGGAAGAAUCGUUUCUAUAUAGUUUUCGAAGGUGAAGAGGGUCAGGAUGCUGGUGGUUUACUCAGAGAAUGGUACGUCAUAAUUUCAAGGGAGAUCUUCAACCCGAUGUAUGCACUCUUCACGGUCAGUCCCGGUGAUCGAGUUACGUAUAUGAUUAAUUCAUCUUCUCACUGCAACCCUAAUCACUUAUGCUACUACAAAUUCGUAGGGCGAGUAAUAGCCAAGGCCAUCUAUGAUAACAAAUUAUUGGAGUGUUACUUCACGCGUAGCUUCUACAAACACAUACUCGGAAUACUCGUGAAGCAUACUGACAUGGAGAGUGAAGAUUACAGCUUCUAUAAAGGCCUUGUGUAUCUGACAGAACACAAUAUCUCUGAUCUUGGAUACGAACUGACAUUUUCAGCAGAGGUAAACGAAUUUGGUGUCAACGAUGUUCGAGACUUGAUUCCAAAUGGCCGCAAUAUAGUCGUAACAGAAGAAACGAAGCUGGAGUAUAUCCGUUUGGUGUGUCAGAUGAAGAUGACUGGAGCUAUUCGUAAACAACUCAACGCAUUUUUGGAGGGUUUUUACGACAUUAUUCCAAAACGACUGAUAUCCAUCUUCAACGAGCAGGAGUUAGAAUUACUAAUUAGCGGCUUGCCUAAUGUCGACAUUGAAGAUCUUAAGACUAAUACCGAAUACCACAAAUACAGUCCCACAUCAUUGCAGAUCCAAUGGUUUUGGCGUGCAUUGAGAGGAUUCGAUCAAGCAGACAGGGCAAAGUUUUUGCAAUUUGUUACUGGCACGUCGAAAGUACCUUUGCAAGGUUUCGGUGCCUUGGAAGGUAUGAAUGGUGUACAAAAAUUCCAAAUUCAUCGAGAUGACCGCUCAACUGAUAGAUUACCCUCAGCCCACACGUGCUUCAAUCAGUUGGAUUUGCCAGUCUACGAAACAUACGACAAACUCCGUAGUAAUCUGCUGAAGGCAAUUCACGAGUGCAGCGAAGGAUUUGGAUUUGCGUAAAUCUUACUGUGAAUGGAAAAGAAACCGAUCGACGCUCUCACGUGUUUAAGAGAGAAAAGAACCUGGUAACAUAUGCUUGAUCUUCACUCAAGAUCUUAUUACUACCGAUUUAUUCGAUAUAUACAUAUAAAUACACGCAUAUGUAUAUACAUAUAACUAAUUAUCGUGUAAUUACGGAGAGUAACCUUCGAUGCUACCCAAGUUAGAGUUUAUUUUGUUCAGAAGGAUCUUGAUGAAGACGCAGAGCUUAAGCUUAAUUCCCAACAAAGCAAGAUUGGGGCGUUUAAUUAAGGUUAAUUGAUAAGGCUAUGAUAAGAUUCAUAUGUAAGUGUAUUGCUAGAUAGGACUCUGAGUAUGUUUUAAGGGAUAAAUAGGGAGAAAAUUGUAAUAUACUGCACUUUAAAGUGAUCAGCGAUAUGUUGUAACCGGUUCGAUAGUUUGAAUAGUACUGCGGGGACAAUGAUGAAAUGCCACAGUGUUUAGACAGACAGCGAACAAAAGCGCAACGGAGAAAAUGAAAGGUUUGAAUGACAAAGUGAUAACGAUGACGAUAAGUAAAAUCGUGAGUGCAAAAGAUAAGAAAGAAAAAUGGGCGAUAUUAUGUGUGUAUGUAUGUGAAGAGAUUAUGCGUCUACGGGGUAUUACAAUGAAGCGCCAGCCUAAUUAACUGAACCGCUAUAAUUAUAAACACAGUCUUGUCCCCCAAGAAAUGUAUGGUUGUACACUAUUAUUAAUAAUUAGAGAUAAUUUUUAAUUAAUAGUAAUGCUUUUUAAUUAUUAUCAUUUUAAUAGUAAUCAUUCGAAAUGUGAUGUUACAGAAAUGUAAUUUUUUCUUGAAAUCUAACAAAAUAAAGUUUACAGUUGAACCGGCAUUACUCCAAAAGACA
This is an RNA transcript of Cephus cinctus (wheat stem sawfly), 14803 nucleotides long. It is a transcript of the gene named E3 ubiquitin-protein ligase HUWE1, with no coding region annotated. The record is from RefSeq and is a predicted model, not a curated record. The transcript is spliced from 38 exons. NCBI's taxonomy places the organism in Eukaryota, Metazoa, Arthropoda, Insecta, Hymenoptera, Cephidae.